GUGAGGAAUAUUGGUCAAUGGGCGGGAGCCUGAACCAGCCAAGUCGCGUGAAGGAAGAAGGAUCUAUGGUUCGUAAACUUCUUUUGCAGGGGAAUAAAGUGCAGGACGUGUCCUGUUUUGUAUGUACCCUGAGAAUAAGGAUCGGCUAACUCCGUGCCAGCAGCCGCGGUAAUACGGAGGAUCCAAGCGUUAUCCGGAAUCAUUGGGUUUAAAGGGUGCGUAGGUGGUUUGAUAAGUCAGCGGUGAAAGUUUGCAGCUUAACUGUAAAAAUGCCGUUGAAACUGUCGGACUUGAGUGUAAAUGAGGUAGGCGGAAUGCGUGGUGUAGCGGUGAAAUGCAUAGAUAUCACGCAGAACUCCGAUUGCGAAGGCAGCUUACUAAGCUACAACUGACACUGAAGCACGAAAGCGUGGGGAUCAAAUAGGAUUAGAUACCCGUGUAGUCC
This 445-nucleotide ribosomal RNA is filed under the name uncultured bacterium. Its description in RNAcentral is "partial 16S ribosomal RNA". It matches the Rfam family "Bacterial small subunit ribosomal RNA", at positions 354 to 796 of the family's 1533-position model. The record is from RNAcentral.